This 496-nucleotide ribosomal RNA is filed under the name uncultured bacterium. RNAcentral's name for it is "partial 16S ribosomal RNA". It matches the Rfam family "Bacterial small subunit ribosomal RNA", at positions 28 to 507 of the family's 1533-position model. The record is from RNAcentral.
GAUGAACGCUGGCGGCGUGCCUAACACAUGCAAGUCGAGCGAACAGACAAGGAGCUUGCUCUCUUGCCGUUUGCGGCGGACGGGUGAGUAACACGUGGAUAACCUACCUCUUUGACUGGGAUAACAUCGGGAAACCGGAGCUAAUACCGCCUAAUAUAUCGAACCGCAUAAUUCAAGAGUGAUUGACGGUUUUCCCGACACUUAUAGAUGGAUUCGGGCGGAAUUGUCUAGUUGGUAAGGUAACGGCUUACCAAGGCAACGAUGCGUAGCCGACCUGAUAGGGUGAUCGGCCACACUGAAACUGAGACACGGCCCAAACUCCUAGGGGAGGAGGCGGGGGGAAAUCUGGCGAAAGGGGCGAAAGCCUGGCGAGGCAACGCCGCGUGGGUGAUGAGGGUCUUCGGUUCGAAAGACUCUGUUAUUGGAGAAAAACAAAUGUGUAAAUAACUAUGCAGGUCUGAAGGUAACCUAAUCAGAAGGCCCGGCUUAACUAGUG